AAAUGGAUACCAAGAUUAGAUUGAAUAGUAAUGAAGAAUUUUUCAUGAGACUCGAGCUGAAGAAAUUAUAUAGAAAGACAGAGAUCAAGAAAGGCAGAGAAUAUUAUCAGUCACUAAAUUGGGGCAAAAUUUCAUCAGGCUAGGGUUCGAACCAAAAUGGAAAACAAAUUGGAAACAAGCAAAAUUAAACUAAAUUGAUGAAAAGAUAUUCGAUCAAGAAGCAAAAUGAUUAAAUUGAAACAAAUGUACGAAGAAAAAAGAUAAAAUUGGAACAACAGAAAAAUGGGGAAAAAGCAAACCAGGAAACGAGGAGAGGGUGCAUUCGAGUGGCGCACAACAGAGCAAGGGGGAAGGUUAAGGACGACGACACCGGGACAUUCACAGUGGAGGGACGAACGACAGAUGUGCCUCUCCACCUUUCUUUUGCGUGCAGGAGCUAUGCGAGAGCUUGAGGAAAUCCGUGACGAGGAAGGAUGUAGUAGCUAGCCACCAACUCUGCAGCACCAUCCAAGCCCGUCUUCCUUACUAAAGCCCAGUGCGAGCAAUUGCCACUCCAACGCCGCCAUGAGGAAAAUUGCCAACCAGAAGCGCCACCAAGAGCAUCUCCUUUCUCGAAAUCGACCUUCCUCCGAUUCCGUAGCUGAUUCCAAACCCUCUGCUGACUCCGACUGCCGCGACUGCGACGACGACCGCGAAAGGGAU
This is a non-coding RNA of Arachis ipaensis, 702 nucleotides long. Lineage: Eukaryota; Viridiplantae; Streptophyta; Magnoliopsida; Fabales; Fabaceae. The record is from RefSeq and is a predicted model, not a curated record.